ACCGUUGGCUUUUGUAAAACUUAUUGACGUCUUUUAUUUACGGAUUUUAAUUAAUUAUAACAAAUUACGAAAAGGAGCGGUUAAUAAUUAAAAAAAAAAAAAACCAAUUAAACAUUUUAACGCGAAAUAAAUACAUCGUUUGAAUCCAUUUCUUUAUUUAAAAUAUAUUUGAUUUUUGCCUUUACUUAGCCUUCAGACGCCAUUGUUUAAGUGACAGUUCUGCGUGAAAGGCUUGUGUAUUCUAAAUUGUAUAUAUGUAUAUCGAUAUAAACUUGGUAUAUUUACUCAAGUUGAACAAAACAUUUGCUGUUGAUUUGCUGACUCACAGAAGAAGAUAUAUCGAAAUAAACUGUUAGAUAGCAGAUUUGUUUAUAUAUUUUUUACGGUUUAAUGUUGUCAGUUGGUUUAAAACCUUAAUCGGACAAUCAUAAUUUUAUAUGAAAUAAAAAUAGAAAAAAAAUGUAUUUUAAAAAAUCAAGUAACGACAAAAACGUGCGAUAACAUUUUAUCUAAAAAUAGCAAUAUCAAAAAACAAAAGACGUUAAAAUGUGUUAAAAAAGAAGUUAAGGUCGUGCAAUAAUGAAAAAGAAGAAAACAAUAUAUUAAUGCGAAUUGCUAUUUUAAAAACGGAAAGCGUUGAAAGUAAACCGUUAAGCUUAUUUAAGAUUUAUAGAGCUUAUGUUAAUUAAGAUUUUCAUGUUAUUCAGAAUAUUUCGUUUAUUUCUUUACUGACGAUCGUCUGGACGGGUGGAGGGAACUGCUGAAAACUUAAGCUUUUCAUAUACCAGUUUAUGCAUUUAAAGAGAAGGAAUAAUAUAAGAACCCAAUCGCUUGUAUAUGAAGUUGAUAUAAUUAAAUUGAAUUCCAGUAUAAAACGUCCAUUUUAAUUAUGGACACAAUAGACUUAGAUAGUCUUGUGGGGAAACUAGCGGAAGAUGUUACGAAAAACGACGUUGCUUUUAGAUGGAAGAAUUUUUCGAACGUUGACGCCCAACUUGAAAACACAUUCGAAGAGGAUGACAAAUUAAGAGAUGUGCUGGAAGUAAUUGUUGCAGCAUUAACCAAUCGGGACUCCAUUGUAAAUCAUACUCUUGAAUUACAAUGCUUGCAACAACAGAAAUUCAAUAAAAUUAUCGAUGAACUUAAAAGAGAGGUGACUACGAACAACUCAUCGUGUCCCGUUUCAUUUGAUUCAGUUUUAUGCUGGCCAAGCACACCAGCCGGUGCUUGGGCUGCGUUGCCUUGCUUUAAGGAAUUUAAAGGUGUACGCUACGAUAAUUCCCAAAAUGCAACACGCUAUUGUCAUUCGAACGGUACAUGGGAUAUUUACACUAACUAUGAUAAAUGUCACAAUGUUAUGCAAUUACCGGAAGUGCCGGAUUUUGCACCAGGUAUCGAAUUGCCAACCUAUAUAUACUGUUGCGGAUACUCUUUAAGUUUAUUAUUUCUAACCUUGGCUCUCAUCGUUUUUCUUUCUUUCAAAGACUUAAAAUGCCUGCGGAAUACAAUACAUGCAAAUUUAUUUUUAACCUACAUUCUCUCAGCGUUGCUGUGGAUAUUGACUUUAUUCCUUCAAGUGAUGACAGAUCAUGCUAGUGAAGCUGGUUGCAUUACGUUGGUCAUGAUGUUCCACUAUUUUAAUUUGACAAAUUUCUUCUGGAUGUUUGUUGAAGGUCUUUACCUUUAUACAUUAGUAGUGCAGACAUUCACUACCGAUAAUUUAGGUGCUUUACAAUAUGCGCUAAUCGGUUGGGGUUGUCCUGCUGUCGUAACAAUUGUUUGGUCGAUAGUUAAAAUCUACACUCCGCACUUAGAGAAUGAAAGUUUUAUUGGGUUAACUAUAGAUUGUUCAUGGAUGCGUGAAUCUCAGGUUGACUGGAUUUUUCAAGGUCCCGCCUCUUUAGUUUUACUACUGAAUUUAAUAUUUCUUGUACGAAUUAUGUGGGUACUCAUAACAAAAUUACGUUCGGCUAACACGUUGGAAACUAGACAAUAUCGGAAAGCAGCUAAAGCUCUCUUGGUACUAAUACCUUUGUUUGGUAUAACUUAUCUGCUGGUCUUGGUUGGUCCUGAGCAAGGCUUAAGUCGUAAUCUAUUCGAAAUCAUCAGAGCGUUUCUAAUAAGCACGCAGGGCUUUUUUGUAUCUUUAUUUUUUUGCUUCCUUAACUCGGAAGUACGGCAGACUUUGCGCCAUCGCUUUGAUAGAUGGAGAGAACAUCGCAAUUUGGGAACUGGAAGUAUGCGAAGAGCACAAAGAUACCAUCCAUCUAAAGAUUAUUCGCAAAGAUCAAGAACUGAAAGUCUACGAUUAACCUCAGCAAGUCCUUCACCACUUAUGAAUGUAGAAUAAAGUCCUUUGUUCUAAUUGUUAUAAUAUCCAAGAUACCCACCGAUUUAGUUGAUAACCGUAGAUGUAUGAGUAUUAUUUAAUAAAGAAUUUAUCACUGAAGAAUAUUACAUCUGUAUGCGUCCUUAGCAGAGUGGACCUUGC
RNA transcript from Glossina fuscipes, 2491 nucleotides. It is a transcript of the gene named diuretic hormone receptor, with no coding region annotated. Lineage: Eukaryota; Metazoa; Arthropoda; Insecta; Diptera; Glossinidae. The transcript has 14 exons. The record is from RefSeq and is a predicted model, not a curated record.